AGAAAGCCCUCAUAGUUUAAUGUUCGCUUAAGGACUUCAGCAUCUACAAGUUCAGAGAUGGACCAGGACAGAAGUGGUAAAAGCAGUGAGGUGAGAAUUGGUCACUCUCUAAAUGAAGCAG
Long non-coding RNA from Pygocentrus nattereri (red-bellied piranha), 121 nucleotides. RefSeq lists it as uncharacterized. The record is from RefSeq and is a predicted model, not a curated record. The transcript is spliced from 3 exons. Lineage: Eukaryota; Metazoa; Chordata; Actinopteri; Characiformes; Serrasalmidae.